GAUGAGCGCUGGCGGCGUGCCUAAUACAUGCAAGUCGAGCGAACGGACGAGAAGCUUGCUUCUCUGAUGUUAGCGGCGGACGGGUGAGUAACACGUGGAUAACCUACCUAUAAGACUGGGAUAACUUCGGGAAACCGUAGCUAAUACCGGAUAAUAUUUUGAACCGCAUGGUUCAAAAGUGAAAGACGGUCUUGCUGUCACUUAUAGAUGGAUCCGCGCUGCAUUAGCUAGUUGGUAAGGUAACGGCUUACCAAGGCAACGAUGCAUAGCCGACCUGAGAGGGUGAUCGGCCACACUGGAACUGAGACACGGUCCAGACUCCUACGGGAGGCAGCAGUAGGGAAUCUUCCGCAAUGGGCGAAAGCCUGACGGAGCAACGCCGCGUGAGUGAUGAAGGUCUUCGGAUCGUAAAACUCUGUUAUUAGGGAAGAACAUAUGUGUAAGUAACUGUGCACAUCUUGACGGUACCUAAUCAGAAAGCCACGGCUAACUACGUGCCAGCAGCCGCGGUAAUACGUAGGUGGCAAGCGUUAUCCGGAAUUAUUGGGCGUAAAGCGCGCGUAGGCGGUUUUUUAAGUCUGGUGUGAAAGCCCACGGCUCAACCGUGGAGGGUCAUUGGAAACUGGAAAACUUGAGUGCAGAAGAGGAAAGUGGAAUUCCAUGUGUAGCGGUGAAAUGCGCAGAGAUAUGGAGGAACACCAGUGGCGAAGGCGACUUUCUGGUCUGUAACUGACGCUGAUGUGCGAAAGCGUGGGGAUCAAACAGGAUUAGAUACCCUGGUAGUCCACGCCGUAAACGAUGAGUGCUAAGUGUUAGGGGGUUUCCGCCCCUUAGUGCUGCAGCUAACGCAUUAAGCACUCCGCCUGGGGAGUGCGACCGCAAGGUUGAAACUCAAAGGAAUUGACGGGGACCCGCACAAGCGGUGGAGCAUGUGGCUUAAUUCGAAGCAACGCGAAGAACCUUACCAAAUCUUGACAUCCUUUGACAACUCUAGAGAUAGAGCCUUCCCCUUCGGGGGACAAAGUGACAGGUGGUGCAUGGUUGUCGUCAGCUCGUGUCGUGAGAUGUUGGGUUAAGUCCCGCAACGAGCGCAACCCUUAAGCUUAGUUGCCAUCAUUAAGUUGGGCACUCUAAGUUGACUGCCGGUGACAAACCGGAGGAAGGUGGGGAUGACGUCAAAUCAUCAUGCCCCUUAUGAUUUGGGCUACACACGUGCUACAAUGGACAAUACAAAGGGCAGCGAAACCGCGAGGUCAAGCAAAUCCCAUAAAGUUGUUCUCAGUUCGGAUUGUAGUCUGCAACUCGACUACAUGAAGCUGGAAUCGCUAGUAAUCGUAGAUCAGCAUGCUACGGUGAAUACGUUCCCGGGUCU
This 1372-nucleotide ribosomal RNA is filed under the name uncultured bacterium. RNAcentral's name for it is "bacterial SSU rRNA". It matches the Rfam family "Bacterial small subunit ribosomal RNA", at positions 28 to 1381 of the family's 1533-position model. The record is from RNAcentral.